Molecule: non-coding RNA, 105 nt
Filed under: Anaerotignum neopropionicum
Lineage: Bacteria; Bacillati; Bacillota; Clostridia; Lachnospirales; Anaerotignaceae
Source: Rfam by way of RNAcentral
AUAGAUACAAAUGGGAGCUUGUAGGCAGGCUGAGAGGAAGUACCCAUACUUCGACCAUAAACCUGAUUUGGAUAAUGCCAACGUAGGGACAUACUUCGGUUAUGA